RNAcentral lists this ribosomal RNA (338 nucleotides) under uncultured Pseudomonadota bacterium. Its description in RNAcentral is "bacterial SSU rRNA". It matches the Rfam family "Bacterial small subunit ribosomal RNA", at positions 28 to 351 of the family's 1533-position model. The record is from RNAcentral. Lineage: Bacteria; Pseudomonadati; Pseudomonadota.
GAUAAACGCUGGCGGCGUGCCUAACACAUGCAAGUCGUACGAGAAAGUUCGCUUCGGCGGAUGAGUAAAGUGGCGCACGGGUGAGUAACGCGUGGAUAAUCUGCCCUUUAGUUGGGAAUAACUCAUCGAAAGGUGGGCUAAUACCGAAUAAUGCUACGCAACGCAAGUUGCGUAGCCAAAGAAAGCCUCUGCUUGCAAGCUUUUGCUGAAGGAUGAGUCCGCGUACCAUUAGCUAGUUGGUAGGGUAAUGGCCUACCAAGGCGACGAUGGUUAGCUGGUCUGAGAGGAUGAUCAGCCACACUGGAACUGAGACACGGUCCAGACUCCUACGGGAGCUG